RNAcentral lists this non-coding RNA (31 nucleotides) under Mus musculus (house mouse). Lineage: Eukaryota; Metazoa; Chordata; Mammalia; Rodentia; Muridae. The record is from RNAcentral.
UUCAUCAUGGGACCUGUGAUGGCAGGUGGUA